RNAcentral lists this ribosomal RNA (1372 nucleotides) under uncultured bacterium. Its description in RNAcentral is "bacterial SSU rRNA". It matches the Rfam family "Bacterial small subunit ribosomal RNA". The record is from RNAcentral.
AGAGUUUGAUCCUGGCUCAGGACGAACGCUGGCGGCGCGCCUAACACAUGCAAGUCGAACGAGCGAGAGAGAGCUUGCUUUCUCGAGCGAGUGGCGAACGGCUGAGUAACACGUGGAGAACCUGCCCCCUCCCCCGGGAUAGCCGCCCGAAAGGACGGGUAAUACCGGAUACCCCGGGGUGCCGCAUGGCACCCCGGCUAAAGCCCCGACGGGAGGGGAUGGCUCCGCGGCCCAUCAGGUAGACGGCGGGGUGACGGCCCACCGUGCCGACAACGGGUAGCCGGGUUGAGAGACCGACCGGCCAGAUUGGGACUGAGACACGGCCCAGACUCCUACGGGAGGCAGCAGUGGGGAAUCUUGCGCAACGGGGGGAACCCUGACGCAGCGACGCCGCGUGCGGGACGGAGGCCUUCGGGUCGUAAACCGCUUUCAGCAGGGAAGAGUCAAGACUGUACCUGCAGAAGAAGCCCCGGCUAACUACGUGCCAGCAGCCGCGGUAAUACGUAGGGGGCGAGCGUUAUCCGGAUUCAUUGGGCGUAAAGCGCGCGUAGGCGGCCCGGCAGGCCGGGGGUCGAAGCGGGGGGCUCAACCCCCCGAAGCCCCCGGAACCUCCGCGGCUUGGGUCCGGUAGGGGAGGGUGGAACACCCGGUGUAGCGGUGGAAUGCGCAGAUAUUCGGAGGAACACCGGUGGCGAAGGCGGCCAACUGGGCUUUAACUGACGCUGAGGCUCGAAAGUGUGGGGAGCAAACAGGAUUAGAUACCCUGGUAGUCCACACUGUAAACGAUGAUAACUAGGUGUGGGGGGUCUGACCCCUUCCGUGCCGCAGCUAACGCAAUAAGUUAUCCACCUGGGGAGUACGACCGCAAGGUUGAAACUCAAAGGAAUUGACGGGGACCCGCACAAGCAGUGGAUUAUGUGGUUUAAUUCGAAGCAACGCGAAGAACCUUACCAGCACUUGACAUCCGACUAACGAAGUAGAGAUACAUUAGGUGCCCUUCGGGGAAAGUCGAGACAGGUGGUGCAUGGUUGUCGUCAGCUCGUGUCGUGAGAUGUUGGGUUAAGUCCCGCAACGAGCGCAACCCCUGCCAUUAGUUGCUACGCAAGAGCACUCUAAUGGGACCGCUACCGACAAGGUGGAGGAAGGUGGGGACGACGUCAAAUCAUCAUGCCCCUUAUGUGCUGGGCUACACACGUAAUACAAUGGCCAUCAACAAAGAGAAGCAAUACCGCGAGGUGGAGCAAAACUAUAAAAAUGGUCUCAGUUCGGACUGCAGGCUGCAACCCGCCUGCACGAAGUUGGAAUUGCUAGUAAUCGUGGAUCAGCAUGCCACGGUGAAUACGUUCCCGGGUCUUGUACACACCGCCCGUCA